UAGGGAAUCUUCCACAAUGGACGAAAGUCUGAUGGAGCAACGCCGCGUGAGUGAAGAAGGGUUUCGGCUCGUAAAACUCUGUUGUUAAAGAAGAACGUGGGUAAGAGUAACUGUUUACCCAGUGACGGUAUUUAACCAGAAAGCCACGGCUAACUACGUGUCAG
This 164-nucleotide ribosomal RNA is filed under the name uncultured bacterium. Its description in RNAcentral is "partial 16S ribosomal RNA". It matches the Rfam family "Bacterial small subunit ribosomal RNA", at positions 355 to 511 of the family's 1533-position model. The record is from RNAcentral.